RNAcentral lists this long non-coding RNA (724 nucleotides) under Homo sapiens (human). Its description in RNAcentral is "HSALNT0292171". Lineage: Eukaryota; Metazoa; Chordata; Mammalia; Primates; Hominidae. The record is from RNAcentral.
CUACAGACGCACACCACCACGCCCAGCUAAUUUCUUUUAUUUUUUGGCAGUGACAAAGUCUCACUAUGCUGCUCAGACUGAUAUCAAACUCCUACGCUCAAGCAAUCCUCUCGCCUCCACUUCCCAAAGUGCUGAGAUUACAGGCGUGAGUGAGCCACCUGGCCAGGCCCUACAGCCAAGUGAAAAACUGCAAGCAGCAGAAAAAUUUAUCUAAGAGUUUUAAAAGUCUAAACAUCUCAUUCUUUCGCAAUCCAGAUACCAACAGGAGUCUGAAACCCUUCGCAGAGGCGUGCAACACACUAGGAGAGCGCUAUCUGUUUACAAAUACGAAUCUCAGUUACCCACGUCAAAACCGCGCAUUACCACCUUUCGACUGGGGGGCGGGGGAGAGAGAAGGCGGGCGAGCAAGAAACAAAAUCCACACAGACACCUCUGCCUUCUCCCUACAAGGACGAGCCCGGGGAAACAUUCAGUAUGUAUUAUAUGCGUGUAUACAUUUAUAUACAUUAUGUAGUCACCUAUGUCUAAGCAAGGGUGAAAGAAAAAGGUACACAUGACAGGGAAUCGUAACUGGACCCAACAGAAAUGUUCAAACCAAUCCCGUUAACUCAAAAUCCGCCCCGCUGGUCUACAACAGGUUUCGGUCCGGGACCGGGAGCCCCAGCCACAGUGUGGAGUUCGUCCCCAAAGCGCCCCAAUGCCCUCCUCAGGCCGCCCAGGCCGC